RNAcentral lists this ribosomal RNA (364 nucleotides) under uncultured bacterium. RNAcentral's name for it is "bacterial SSU rRNA". It matches the Rfam family "Bacterial small subunit ribosomal RNA", at positions 29 to 395 of the family's 1533-position model. The record is from RNAcentral.
AACGAACGCUGACGGUGUGCCUCAUACAUGCAAGUCGAGCGGACUCAGCAAUGGGUUAGCGGCGGACGGGUGAGUAACACGUGAACAAUCUGCCCUCGAAUCUGGGAUAACAGUUCCAACGAGCUGCUAAUACCGGGUAGGUUAGUUUCGUCGCAUGGCGAGACUAAGAGAGUUCCAAUUGGAACUUUCGAGGAUGAGUUCGCGGCCCAUUAGCUAGUUGGCGGGGUAAAGGCCCACCAAGGCAACGAUGGGUAGCCGGCCUGAGAGGGUGAUCGGCCACAUUGGGACUGAGAUACGGCCCAGACUCCUACGCGAGGCAGCAGUAGGGAAUUUUGCGCAAUGGACGAAAGUCUGACGCAGCAAC